ACUCCUACGGGAGGCAGCAGUGGGGAAUUUUGGACAAUGGGCGCAAGCCUGAUCCAGCAAUGCCGCGUGCAGGAUGAAGGCCUUCGGGUCGUAAACUGCUUUUGUACGGAACGAAAAGCCCUGGGUUAAUACCCUGGGGUCAUGACGGUACCGUAAGAAUAAGCACCGGCUAACUACGUGCCAGCAGCCGCGGUAAU
Molecule: ribosomal RNA, 197 nt
Filed under: uncultured Comamonas sp.
Lineage: Bacteria; Pseudomonadati; Pseudomonadota; Betaproteobacteria; Burkholderiales; Comamonadaceae
Description: partial 16S ribosomal RNA
Rfam family: Bacterial small subunit ribosomal RNA
Source: RNAcentral